UCUAAGCCAUGCGAGUCGAAUGUAGCAAUACAUGGCGUACUGCUCAGUAACACGUGGACAACCUACCCUCCGGACGGGGAUAAACCCGGGAAACUGGGUAUAAUACCCGAUAGAUCUCGACUGCUGGAAUGCAUCGAGAUCGAAAGCUCCGGCGCCAGAGGAUGGGUCUGCGGCCUAUCAGGUAGUAGUGGGUGUAGCGUACCUACUAGCCUACGACGGGUACGGGUUGUGAGAGCAAGAGCCCGGAGAUGGAUUCUGAGACACGAAUCCAGGCCCUACGGGGUGCAGCAGGCGCGAAAACUUUACAAUGCCGGCAACGGCGAUAAGGGGACCUCGAGUGCCAGGUUACAAAUCUGGCUGUCGUGAUGCCUAAAAAGCAUUGCAUAGCAAGGGCCGGGCAAGACCGGUGCCAGCCGCCGCGGUAACACCGGCGGCUCGAGUGGUAACCGUUAUUAUUGGGUCUAAAGGGUCUGUAGCCGGCCGGAUAAGUCUCUUGGGAAAUCCAGCAGCUCAACUGUUGGGCUUUCAGGAGAUACUGUCUGGCUCGAGGCCGGGAGAGGUGAGAGGUACUUCAGGGGUAGGGGUGAAAUCUUGUAAUCCUUGAAGGACCACCAGUGGCGAAGGCGUCUCACCAGAACGGACCUGACGGCAAGGGACGAAAGCUAGGGGCACGAACCGGAUUAGAUACCCGGGUAGUCCUAGCCGUAAACGAUACUCGCUAGGUGUCGGCCACGGUGCGACCGUUGUCGGUGCCGUAGGGAAGCCGUGAAGCGAGCCACCUGGGAAGUACGGCCGCAAGGCUGAAACUUAAAGGAAUUGGCGGGGGAGCACCACAACGGGUGGAGCUUGCGGUUUAAUUGGAUUCAACGCCGGAAAUCUUACCGGGACCGACAGCAAUAUGAAGGCCAGGCUGAAGACUUUGCCGGAUUAGCUGAGAGGAGGUGCAUGGCC
Molecule: ribosomal RNA, 951 nt
Filed under: uncultured archaeon
Lineage: Archaea
Description: bacterial SSU rRNA
Rfam family: Archaeal small subunit ribosomal RNA
Source: RNAcentral